Molecule: long non-coding RNA, 886 nt
Organism: Bufo bufo (common toad)
Lineage: Eukaryota; Metazoa; Chordata; Amphibia; Anura; Bufonidae
Exons: 3
Source: RefSeq, a predicted model, not a curated record
GCUGCAGUACGAAGCGCAGCCGCUAUCCAGUGGGCGGCGCUGUGCUUGGCGAGCUGUGAGGAAGCCUUGGCGCGCAGCGGUACGCUGCAGCCAGUGAUGCCAGUUUUAUGAUAUCAAUUCCUUCUCGAACUGGAAAGAAAAUUAUUGGACCCAUGUCUAGUGGAGAUUUAACAUUUUUAAGUUGGGUAUUGGUUCUCAUUGAAGAGACCCAGUGGGUAAAUGGAAACGUAUUCUCGUGCAAUGCUCCAUGGGAAAAAAGUACGCAAAUGAGCUCUUGUCGAUCAAAGCUCCUCAAAAUGGAAGAGCGACCCAUCUGUAGACAGGGGAAUAGGUAUUUGUUUCUUGUAAACAGCUCUUCUUUCGUCCAUGUGGUACGUUGGGGCUGAGCUGCAAUACCAGACGCAACCUGCGGACAAGAGUGGCGCUGUUUCUAGGGGGGGAAAUACACCCCCUCUGCUUCUCAGAUCUUAAUAGAAUAGCAGAUGUUCAGUACUACACACACCAAGCCUAGCCUCACACUGGUAGGUGCCCUGGAGCCCUAAUUAUUAUACCCAGCAAACCUCAAGCUUCAGCAAGAACACAUCUGACUCUCCACCGGAGUAACAUAAACCUCUCACUUCUUCAUAACUGUCCGGCUGUGGCUAUAGGGUCAGGUCAAGACCCCCAGCUGCAUUGUGCUCCAGGCUACACCAUCCCCCCCCCCCACAUGCAACAUUCAUACUCAGCAUUUUACAGACCUAGGGGCACGUUCACACACAGCUGUCAAGGUGCAGUUAUAUGUGUAGAGGAAAAAAAUGAAUGCAGUUUUGCAGCACUUUGCAAUGCAGUUAUGGUUUGGGAAAAAAAAAAAAAGAUUUAACACAUUUCACCUGCAAAAAUAAAAAUA